Oncorhynchus nerka (sockeye salmon) is the source of this 1147-nucleotide long non-coding RNA. RefSeq lists it as uncharacterized. Lineage: Eukaryota; Metazoa; Chordata; Actinopteri; Salmoniformes; Salmonidae. The record is from RefSeq and is a predicted model, not a curated record. The transcript is spliced from 3 exons.
GCUACGGCGUCCCCAGCUUGUCUAGAGUCACGUCAUUUAUUGCGCAAUAUAUUCUUGGUGUAACCGAAACAAAGGAACUCCUUUCGUGCUGUCCCGGCUGAGAUUUUGGUUCGACAUUUGGAAAGAGAGCAAUUCCUACAGAGACAAGUAUUCCGAGCUCGAUAUCUAGGCUAUAUAUGGACCGAUUUAAUCAAAAAAAGACCCUAAAUGAUGUUUAUGGGACAUCUAGGAGUGUCAAGAAAGAAGCUCGUCAAAGCUCAGAGAUUCGAUCCCGCAACCUUUUGGUAACUGGCUCAACUCUCUAACUCUCUAACUACCUGCCGCCCCACCGAGCCACUGCCUGUCCACCCGGCUAUCAUCCAGAAGGUGAGGUCAGUACAGGUGCAUCAAAGCUGGGACCGAUAUACUGAAAAACAGCUUCUAUCUCAAGGCCAUCAGACUGUUAAAUAGCCAUCACUAGCAUAUUAGAGGCUGCUGCCCUAUAUACAUAGACUUGAAAUCACUGGCCUCUUUAAUAACUGGAACACUAGUCACUUUAAUAAUGUUUACAUAUUUUGCAUUACUCAUCUCAUAUGUAUAUACUGUAUUCUGUCCUAUUCUACUGUAUCUUAGUCUAUGCCGCUGUGACAUUGCUCGUCCAAAUAUUUAUAUAUUCUUAAUUGCAUUCAUUUACUUUACUGUAUUGUUAGAUAUUACUGCACUGUUGGAGCUAGAAACACAAGCAUUUCGCUACACCCGCAACAACAUCUGCUAAACACGUGUAUGUGACAAAUACAAUUUGAUUUGAUUUGUUUUUUAACGUGAUUUGACGUCAUUUUAUCUGUGGCCAAUGACCUUGAGCCUUCUUAGAUGGGCACUUCUCAUGUAACUCUAUGGCAGCACACAAGGCAGCGGCGGAUUUAGGUAUGGGCGACACGGGCAACCGCCCUGGGCGGCAUCUUGGCGGGGGCGGUACGGGGCGCCCGCACCCAAAAAAUUGUAAUGGUGACAUUUGAGCGACCGGUUUUCUGUCGCUCAUUUGCACGUCACGUCAAUGAUAUCAUGUCACCGUGUGGGACUGUGUGUCAAUUAACCUUGUCGGAGUAGGUGCCCUGAUUCUAGUUUGUGAGCUAGUCAUGCUACUGCCUGGAAAGAUCUCCCACUCAGA